GAGUUUGAUCUUGGCUCAGGACGAACGCUGGCGGCGUGCCUAAUACAUGCAAGUCGAGCGGACAGAUGGGAGCUUGCUCCCUGAAGUCAGCGGCGACGGGUGAGUAACACGUGGGCAACCUGCCUGUAAGACUGGGGAUAACUCCGGGAAACCGGGGCGUAAUACCGGAUAAUUCUUUCCCUCACAUGAGGGAAAGCUGAAAGAUGGUUUCGGCUAUCACUUACAGAUGGGCCCGCGGCGCAUUAGCUAGUUGGUGAGGUAACGGCUCACCAAGGCAACGAUGCGUAGCCGACCUGAGAGGGUGAUCGGCCACACUGGGACUGAGACACGGCCCAGACUCUACGGGAGGCAGCAGUAGGGAAUCUUCC
RNAcentral lists this ribosomal RNA (368 nucleotides) under uncultured Bacillus sp. RNAcentral describes it as "bacterial SSU rRNA". It matches the Rfam family "Bacterial small subunit ribosomal RNA", at positions 9 to 367 of the family's 1533-position model. The record is from RNAcentral. Lineage: Bacteria; Bacillati; Bacillota; Bacilli; Caryophanales; Bacillaceae.